CAGUCACUCUCUCUGGACCUCACCUCACCCUCACAGUCACAGCCUCACUCAGUCACUCUCUCUCUCGACCUCAUCUCACCCUCCUCGACCUCACCCUCACUCAGUCACUCACUCUCUUUCUCGACCUCAUCUCAUCCCUCAUACCCUCACUGUGGAGGAGCCUUCCUUCACGGCACAGAGGCAGAGCCACGGCCACCGGCGCCGCUUACCUCUCUGAUCUCUCUCUCGACUUCUUCAUCCAGAUUCCAGUGCACUGUGCACCGAUUCUCCCCCAAAUCAAGUGAAUUUUGGAAUUAAUUUAGGAAUUGCGAAAUGAUCACGAAGAGAUUACCGAGAAAUUGAACCGAAAUAUAGAAGUUCUGCAUUCGGCAAGGCUUACUCCGAAACAAUCAUCACUCAAAGAUUCAGAUGGCCAAAGCGCAUCAGUUGUCAACAUGGUUGCUUCUGCAUCCUCAAUCAAUGUUCAUACUGGUUCUACCAAUGCCAUGGAUGUGGAUGUGAUUGUGAGCGUACCCUUUGCGUUGGUGGAUGAGAUAUCUGAUGCAUCACCAGCAGCAGAGGAUGGUUUGCAGCUUGGAGAUACCUGUAAUACUUGUAAGGCAAGGUGCUCAAGUCAACUUAACCAUGACACCUAGAACAUGGCAAGGCAGGGGUCUACUCAGUAAUAUGACCGUUUUGCCCUUUUGGUUCUACGUGUCUUUCAUCGCUGAGUGAAUACAAUGGAAAAGUCAGGCUAUUGCAUUUGGUUCCCCGACUGCUAUACACGUGUUGCUCAUCGGGAAGGAAAGACGGAUUGAAAAGCCGAGCUCUCUUUCAAGCAUGCAAGAAGACUUGAGAGACCUUUGUUUUCCUUCAGAUUUUGGGGCUUUUGCUCUCUGUACUCAAGCUUUCUGUUGAAAGGUUGGGUUCAAUGAAGAAGCAUGUACAGGUUGUGUCCUUGCCUUCAAAGUCAGUUUUCAGAAACUUCAAUCCUCUUGAUUCCCACGUAUGGCUUGAAUUCUAUGGACCCCCAUCUGAUCGCAAUAUCAAUCUCUUCGGAAAUGUUAUUCAGUCAUAGUGUGUCAUGGGAUGCUUGGGUGCCUAUAUUGUCAGUCCUGAGUAAUUCUGCUUAAUUGGUGAUCUUAGAUACAUACGAGCAGUCAUUCAUGAUUGAUUUUACCAAGUAUAAACAUUUGAAUUGAACCAUAAGGUUGAUUCACAUUCUGGGAUGUAAUAUAGUUGGCGUGUUGGGGCUGAUUGUGGAGAUUCUGUUUACACUAUAAUUGUUGUUGUAAAGAGUCACUAUAUGCUGCUUAAAGGCUGGUAUCAACUGAUUCAUGAUCUGAUUACUCGAGAAGGUCCAUUUCUUGAAAUAGCUUGCAUCCUUAUUGCUGGUUUGACAAUCCUUUUGUGGCUAAUUGUGGUUGUUUCAAGUAUCGUGUGGUCAGUUUUCAUGAACAUUUUAAUUGGAUUGUAUGCAUCAGUUGUAGUAUAUCGGGUUUGCUUGCACCAUACUAUAAUCAUUGUAAUCUCCUUGGCCUUUCAUGAUAAGUACAAUUAUACAUUUUUUAACCGUUUGGAAAUGGAGGAGAGAUCUUUCAGGAAAGGUGUGGUACAUGAUUGCAAUGGUGGCUGAAUUUGAUGAGUGCACGAAUGAUCGGCUGUAUCUUCAAGAGGGAACAAUCUUUCCAAAGUUAAUGACUUUUCCUGCUUAUGAAAUAUUGUUCCUUAAGCUGAUUAAGUUUUACUGCAGAAAGUCACUUUCAAAAAGUUCUUUUUAAAGUUUGGCACUAAAUUGCUUUUCUUUUCUUGGGGUGCAAGGAAACGGAGGAAGAGAAAGAAUCAAAUUCCGGAUUUAUCAAACACUUUGUAAAUCGUCCAUGCAUUUUGCAGCUGGAAUCUUUUGUUGCUAUUUCAAAGCUGGAGGGGGCAUUGUGGAUUAAUAAUAGGAAAUAUGAUGCUCUGUGGUGCUGGGAAAUGCUUAAACUGUUUGUGCAUUAUGCACUCCAGACCAUAAUGAGGCAAAGGUUCCAAAAGGUGCUGCAGUGCUUCCUAAAGGCUUUCAAUGAGUUUGUGAGAAGAGUCUCAUUACAAGGAACUCGAUCCAACAGAACAUUUACUGCUCUUAAAAGCAUUUUGUGAACUCCAAGCUCAAGUCAAUCCUUAAUUUUUAUCUACUUUUUAUUUCUCUAUGUUUAGGUGAUUUACAUGGUUUGUAACCAUUAAAUCACCCAACUUUAUUGUGUUUCUGAUUGUUGAUGUCAAUUAAAAUACUAUUAUUUAGGUUAUUAGAUUUUAUGCUA
Non-coding RNA from Malus domestica (apple), 2282 nucleotides. The record is from RefSeq and is a predicted model, not a curated record. Lineage: Eukaryota; Viridiplantae; Streptophyta; Magnoliopsida; Rosales; Rosaceae.